ACGCACGCUGGCGGCGUGCCUAAUACAUGCAAGUAGAACGCUGAAGAGAGGAGCUUGCUCUUCUUGGAUGAGUUGCGAACGGGUGAGUAACGCGUAGGUAACCUGCCUGGUAGCGGGGGAUAACUAUUGGAAACGAUAGCUAAUACCGCAUAAAAUGGAUUAUCGCAUGAUAAUCCAUUGAAAGGUGCAAAUGCAUCACUACCAGAUGGACCUGCGUUGUAUUAGCUAGUUGGUGGGGUAACGGCUCACCAAGGCGACGAUACAUAGCCGACCUGAGAGGGUGAUCGGCCACACUGGGACUGAGACACGGCCCAGACUCCUACGGGAGGCAGCAGUAGGGAAUCUUCGGCAAUGGACGGAAGUCUGACCGAGCAACGCCGCGUGAGUGAAGAAGGUUUUCGGAUCGUAAAGCUCUGUUGUAAGAGAAGAACGAGUGUGAGAGUGGAAAGUUCACACUGUGACGGUAUCUUACCAGAAAGGGACGGCUAACUACGUG
RNAcentral lists this ribosomal RNA (496 nucleotides) under uncultured bacterium. RNAcentral describes it as "partial 16S ribosomal RNA". It matches the Rfam family "Bacterial small subunit ribosomal RNA", at positions 29 to 507 of the family's 1533-position model. The record is from RNAcentral.